Microtus ochrogaster (prairie vole) is the source of this 673-nucleotide long non-coding RNA. RefSeq lists it as uncharacterized. The record is from RefSeq and is a predicted model, not a curated record. NCBI's taxonomy places the organism in Eukaryota, Metazoa, Chordata, Mammalia, Rodentia, Cricetidae. The transcript is spliced from 4 exons.
GGAGCGCAGGCUUCUCGUGCAGCAUGGCGGGCGGCGGAGGCCCGGGCCUGUGGAACCCGGCCUGUCCUCGGGCUCUUCCAGGUGCGAACCCCGCGGUCUGUCCACCCCGUCGGUGCGGAGCGGGGCGCCCAGCUGACGGCGCCGGUCCCUUACUGGGUACGGUGGGCCACAUGGCCUGGUCUGCGUGGCCGCUCGCAUUCGCGUUCCCGCGCGCUCGGUCUUUAAAAUAACCUGCAGAUCCUGAACUGCUCGAGCUCGGGGGACAACAGCCCUUGGCGGCCCUUAGUUAAAGGCCUGCGCCUCAGGACGCAUCGAAGUGCGGGAAGGAGCGGCCGCUCCUGGCGGCAGCUUUCUCUGGGCCUGCACUGUGUCCACCAGAAGAAAGUGCAACAAAACCUGCCUCUUGAACGUGCUUGAACAAAUGUUUUCCAGAAACUUGUCACAGAACGCGAUUUAAAUAAGCCACCAGGACGACAGUUGCCAGUAACAAGCAUGUAGGUAGCUGCAGGUGAAAGUCACCUCAGGAGCUGUGAUGUUUACAAACACUUCAUUGUUUCGGUGCAGCACACAUUGUGGAUGGUGAAAUGAAGAAUUGGUCAAGAAUCCGUGAACAGGAGCAAAUGAUGAAUUAGUGUUUUAUAGUAAUCAACAAUAAAUUAUGUAGAAAUAAGUA